RNAcentral lists this ribosomal RNA (460 nucleotides) under uncultured bacterium. RNAcentral describes it as "partial 16S ribosomal RNA". It matches the Rfam family "Bacterial small subunit ribosomal RNA", at positions 338 to 795 of the family's 1533-position model. The record is from RNAcentral.
CCUACGGGAGGCAGCAGUGAGGAAUAUUGGUCAAUGGGCGCGAGCCUGAACCAGCCAAGUAGCGUGAAGGAUGACUGCCCUACGGGUUGUAAACUUCUUUUAUAAAGGAAUAAAGUGAGGUAGGUAUGCCAUUUUGUAUGUACCUUAUGAAUAAGGAUCGGCUAACUCCGUGCCAGCAGCCGCGGUAAUACGGAGGAUCCGGGCGUUAUCCGGAUUUAUUGGGUUUAAAGGGAGCGUAGAUGGGUUGUUAAGUCAGUUGUGAAAGUUUGCGGCUCAACCGUAAAAUUGCAAUUGAUACUGGCAGUCUUGAGUACAGUAGAGGUAGGCGGAAUGCGUGGUGUAGCGGUGAAAUGCUUAGAUAUCACGAAGAACUCCGAUUGCGAAGGCAGCUUACUGGACUGCCACUGACGUUGAGGCUCGAAAGUGUGGGUAUCAAACAGGAUUAGAUACCCGAGUAGUC